CCUACGGGGGGCUGCAGUGAGGAAUAUUGGUCAAUGGACGCAAGUCUGAACCAGCCAUGCCGCGUGCAGGAAGACGGCUCUAUGAGUUGUAAACUGCUUUUGUACGAGGGUAAACGCAGAUACGCGUAUCUGUCUGAAAGUAUCGUACGAAUAAGGAUCGGCUAACUCCGUGCCAGCAGCCGCGGUAAUACGGAGGAUUCAAGCGUUAUCCGGAUUUAUUGGGUUUAAAGGGUGCGUAGGCGGUCGGAUAAGUUAGAGGUGAAAGCCCGAGGCUCAACUUCGGAAUUGCAGCUGAUACUGUUCGGCUAGAGAGUAGUUGCGGUAGGCGGAAUGUAUGGUGUAGCGGUGAAAUGCUUAGAGAUCAUACAGAACACCGAUUGCGAAGGCAGCUUACCAAGCUACUUCUGACGUUGAGGCACGAAAGCGUGGGGAGCAAACAGGAUUAGAUACCCUUGUAGUC
This 460-nucleotide ribosomal RNA is filed under the name uncultured bacterium. Its description in RNAcentral is "partial 16S ribosomal RNA". It matches the Rfam family "Bacterial small subunit ribosomal RNA", at positions 338 to 795 of the family's 1533-position model. The record is from RNAcentral.